This is a long non-coding RNA of Meriones unguiculatus (Mongolian gerbil), 551 nucleotides long. RefSeq lists it as uncharacterized. Lineage: Eukaryota; Metazoa; Chordata; Mammalia; Rodentia; Muridae. The record is from RefSeq and is a predicted model, not a curated record. The transcript has 3 exons.
CGUGAACAGCAUUCUUUAUUACCAGUUAAGGUGUGGUGAGCGGUCCUGAACGUCCGUUUUGCUGGCAAGCUGCCGAAUAUGACUUCAGCAGGAAGUGGGAGCCUCCUCCAGCUGUCCGUCGGGGGCUGACAGCAGUCAUUGGGGUCACAGCAGUCAGGCUAUGCUGAGAGGCUGCAGCCGGAACCCUUGGUGUCCCCAAAAGCCAACAGCUCCCCAGCUCUUCUGGACCCCACCUUUAUAUUUGCUGAAAGGAAUCUGCUCUGGCCUGGCAUGUCUGGGUCAAGUGUCUGCUGCUGGUCCAGGGCCAGUCAGCUAAGCCAUGGGGACAUAAGACUGUGACCAUACUGGACUGAGAGAGGAGAGACACAGAGAGACAGAGACAGAGAGGGAGGAGAGGAAGGAGGAAGAGUCAGCAGAGGAGAGAGAGAAAGAGAAACUUUAUUAACAGGAGGCCAAAUAACUGAACUUGCUGGUUGUGGAGAAUUAAAACGUUGCAAAGAGAGCCAAAUUAUCUUGGGCUAUUUCCAGUUCCACUGACUAAAGCCCUUGUG